GGUCCCAAACCCAGUCCUCAUGGGCCACCAACAGUCCAGAUUUUGUCAGCAUCGCCAUUGGAAUAAAAAAAGGGAAAUACACUGUUGGUGGUCCAUGAGGACUGGGUUUGGGAC
Molecule: non-coding RNA, 114 nt
Organism: Pelobates cultripes (western spadefoot toad)
Lineage: Eukaryota; Metazoa; Chordata; Amphibia; Anura; Pelobatidae
Source: the annotation of a GenBank genome assembly